AAUCAACGCUGGCGGCGUGCCUCAGACAUGCAAGUCGAACGAUUAAAGCUCUCUUCGGAGAGUGUAUAGAGUGGCGCACGGGUGAGUAACACGUAAGUAAUCUACCCUCGAGUGGGGAAUAACAACCGGAAACGGUUGCUAAUACCGCAUAAUGCAGCGGCACCGCAAGGUGACAGUUGUUAAAGAUUUAUCGCUUGAGGAGGAGCUUGCGGCAGAUUAGCUAGUUGGUAGGGUAACGGCUUGCCAAGGCUACGAUCUGUAACCGGUCUAAGAGGACGGUCGGUCACACUGACACUGAAUAACGGGUCAGACUCCUACGGGAGGCAGCAGUCGGGAAUUUUGGGCAAUGGGCGAAAGCCUGACCCAGCAACGCCGCGUGAAGGAUGAAGUAUUUCGGUAUGUAAACUUCGAAAGAAUAGGAAGAAUUAAUGACGGUACUAUUUAUAAGGUCCGGCUAACUACGUG
This 465-nucleotide ribosomal RNA is filed under the name uncultured bacterium. RNAcentral describes it as "bacterial SSU rRNA". It matches the Rfam family "Bacterial small subunit ribosomal RNA", at positions 32 to 507 of the family's 1533-position model. The record is from RNAcentral.